RNAcentral lists this ribosomal RNA (124 nucleotides) under uncultured cyanobacterium. RNAcentral's name for it is "partial 16S ribosomal RNA". It matches the Rfam family "Bacterial small subunit ribosomal RNA", at positions 369 to 507 of the family's 1533-position model. Lineage: Bacteria; Bacillati; Cyanobacteriota. The record is from RNAcentral.
CAAUGGGCGAAANNCUGACGGAGCAAUACCGCGUGAGGGANGAAGGCUCUUGGGUUGUAAACCUCUUUUCUCAGGGAAGAACAAAAUGACGGUACCUGAGGAAUAAGCAUCGGCUAACUCCGUG